GGAAGGCUUUGCGUACGCUAGCUGUGUGGAACUGACGCCCAGUACAGAGAAGGCGUGUGAUGGAGCAGCAACCCAGGCUACCAUGGCAACAAAUUCGUUGGCCAAAGCCAAGGCUGACUGUGCGUAUGCUGGUACCACGGCCGUCAAGUCCUCCGUUGCCAUAAUGGUCGCGGCUCUGUUUCUGUCGUACCUCAAGUUUUAGUUCCCAUGUUCUUGUGACAAUUAGCCAAGUGCGACCCUGACAGUUGUCGUACCCUCGCGGUUUGAAGAUGUGCCUACUCGGCGUCGAUUGAUUAUUGUAAAGUAGACUCUCUGUAAUGGAUAUAUGACGUGAAAGGAAUUCACCGAAUCAUAUCACCCAUGUCUGUCUCAGUUUCUUUUUUAAAGACAUAUUUUUGUGCUUCUGGUAAUAAAGUAAUGAAUAGAA
This is a long non-coding RNA of Gigantopelta aegis, 427 nucleotides long. RefSeq lists it as uncharacterized. The transcript has 2 exons. NCBI's taxonomy places the organism in Eukaryota, Metazoa, Mollusca, Gastropoda, Neomphalida, Peltospiridae. The record is from RefSeq and is a predicted model, not a curated record.